CUAUAAACCACAUGCUGACCGAGCCCCACAUCUACAACACUCUUUGAUGUUACGCGGUUCACUACCUUUGGCCAAUAUAAUGGAUACAAAAUGAUGUCUCAUUGAUUUGUAAUUCAGUUUCCCUGAUUGUUAGUGGAAUUGGGAAUCUUUUCUGUAUUAAGUGUCCGACCGAGUCACUAAGGUUUUUCUCUCUGUGAAUUGUGGGCAUGUUGUUGUUCAUUCUUUUAGAUUCUUUUGUUGGAGCCAUGUGGAAAUUCUUCGUUCUUGUGCAUACCAUGUAUUUGUUGACGGAGUUACCUUGCCUCUGAAUGAAGAGGUCUUGUGCCUGUGGGAGAUGGCAGAAAGAAGAGGCCACUAGGGGGCGCCCAAGACCUCAGAAUAGUUCACCUAUACCAGUAAAAGACACUGCGGGCUCAGCUGCCUGCCUCAGAAUUGGAGGCCUCCAUCUGCCCAGACUCUGGAAUGAUCCAGGAAGGCCUGCACGGGCUCAUUGGACAGGGAAGAGUAUGGCUGGCUCCGAGAGGAGAGAGAGAAGCGGCAUUUCCAGACUUCCUCGGGCCCAGGGUGUAAACCACUACCUGCACCUCCCCUCUCCUGGAGGAAGGGACAGAAAAUGCAGGCACGGGCUCCUGGGGGCCAAGCACAGGGAAGGGAGAGGUGAGGGCUGGGCCCAAGCCCGGUCCUGUCUGUCGCAUGGUGUCCCCCACGCUGUUCCUCGCUAGAAAAGAG
This 729-nucleotide long non-coding RNA is filed under the name Heterocephalus glaber (naked mole-rat). RNAcentral describes it as "lncRNA (ENSHGLG00000046449.1)". Lineage: Eukaryota; Metazoa; Chordata; Mammalia; Rodentia; Bathyergidae. The record is from RNAcentral.